Molecule: ribosomal RNA, 876 nt
Filed under: uncultured bacterium
Lineage: Bacteria
Description: bacterial SSU rRNA
Rfam family: Bacterial small subunit ribosomal RNA
Source: RNAcentral
GGCUUAGAGUUUGAUCAUGGCUCAGGAUAAACGCUGGCGGCGCACAUAAGACAUGCAAGUCGAACGAACCAAACCAUUAGUUUACUAUUGGAGAGGUUAGUGGCGGACUGGUGAGUAACACGUAAGCAACCUGCCUAUUAGAGGGGAACAACAGUUAGAAAUGACUGCUAAUACCGCAUAUGCCUAAGUAUCGCAUGGUACAAUAGGGAAAGGAGAAAUCUGCUAAUAGAUGGACUUGCGUCUGAUUAGAUAGUUGGUAAGGUAACGGCUUACCAAGUCGACGAUCAGUAGCCGAACUGAGAGGUUGAACGGCCACAUUGGGACUGAGAUACGGCCCAGACUCCUACGGGAGGCAGCAGUCGGGAAUAUUGCGCAAUGGAGGAAACUCUGACGCAGUGACGCCGCGUGCAGGAAGAAGGUUUUCGGAUUGUAAACUGCUUUAGACAGGGAAGAAGAAGGACAGUACCUGUAGAAUAAGCUCCGGCUAACUACGUGCCAGCAGCCGCGGUAAUACGUAGGGAGCGAGCGUUAUCCGGAAUUAUUGGGUGUAAAGGGUGCGUAGACGGGAAGACAAGUUGGUUGUGAAAUCCCUCGGCUUAACUGAGGAACUGCAACCAAAACUAUCAUUCUUGAGUACUGGAGAGGAAAGUGGAAUUCCUAGUGUAGCGGUGAAAUGCGUAGAUAUUAGGAGGAACACCAGUGGCGAAGGCGACUUUCUGGACAGAAACUGACGUUGAGGCACGAAAGUGUGGGGAGCAAACAGGAUUAGAUACCCUGGUAGUCCACACCGUAAACGAUGGAUACUAGGUGUAGGGGGAUGAAUAUCUUCUGUGCCGUCGCNAACGCAGUAAGUAUCCCACCCUGGGAGUACGGCCG